Molecule: long non-coding RNA, 429 nt
Filed under: Ananas comosus (pineapple)
Lineage: Eukaryota; Viridiplantae; Streptophyta; Magnoliopsida; Poales; Bromeliaceae
Description: long non-coding RNA (ACOM_LNC019010)
Source: RNAcentral
UCAUUUAAUUAAACAUUUUUAUUUGAAAAACUUCAAAUACCACAUCGGUUGUUUCAUCCUUUUUCAUUUUAAUAUCCUAUGAUUUAAAGUGUAUCAAUUUAGUGUCAUGUGAUUUCAUUUUUAUCUUUUUAUUAUCGAUUCCAAAAAUUUUUUUGGUUAAAUCAGUUACAAAAUUAAAACUAAAGGGUAUUAAAGUGAAUAUUCGAUAAAUCUAGAUGAACUAUAUGAAGUUUUUUACAUAUAAUUUAAUAAAAUAUUAAUAAAAAAAAUUGAUGAAAAGAUAAAAAUGAAACAACAAGACACUAACUUGAUACACUUUAAACCACAGGAUAUGAGAUAUUUGAAGUGAAAAAGUGUGAAAGUGUAAAACUGCAGGAGUGGUAUUUGAAGUUUACCUUUUUAUUUUGUGUAGGAGGGUAAGAACAAAAU